GACCAGCAACCUGAGGCUGCAGCCCCGAAUCCCAUGAAACCGGUCCCCUUUGGGGGUUGAUGUGCAUCACCCCAGGAAGGACAACCAGAUGAGACAGCAGGCGAGCAGCAGUGAGCUGACCGGGAGGGAAGAAAGCCAACCUAACAGGAGGCAAAGCCCAUCUCGGUCUCUGUUUUUGCAGGCCUCGGAAGAACCGGAAGGAGAAGCGGAUGGGGAAGCAGCAGGGAAGAGGCGAGGUAGGAGAAAAGCCAGUCAGAGAAACAGGAUGUGAAGGAAAGGGACUCUGGACAGAAUAGCCUUCCUGCCUUUAGGUCUUGAUCAUGUCUUAGCCAAAUUUCAGCUUUGUGAGCCUUUGGGCGAGCUCCCUGUAACUCAGAAACGAGUCUCUGCCCUUCAUGCUGUUGCACUUCUGCAGCAGUCAGGUGGAAGGUGGGCAACCUUGUAAUCAAGCUGUGUGUCACCACCACCAUGUUUCUAAAGGCCGUGGAUCUGGUUAGUGGUCUUGCACAGCACAGCCACCCUGUAAUCGGGGUCCAGGCCAGCUGUCAGACCUGGCUGCCAGUGGCGCAGCAACCCAUAAGUGGGGUAUGUGCUGCUUUCUAACAUGAGAAAAAAUAUGUGUAGCGCUGGACGUCCUGUAAUUGGGAGUCAAAGUCCACGGCUAUUCCCAGCCAGUCGGAGAGGUGCCCCUGUAAGGAGGGUGGGUGUAGCCUCCUUCCGCUGGUAGUACAGAGCCGGAGCAGUCUGCAGCGUUGUGCUGCAGAACGGCCUUGCAGACGAGCCGAGGCUCGUGGGGUGACAGCCAACUCUUUAGAACCAGAAGCUUGACCUUCCCGUGGUCUGGGUUGAAGCCUGUGGCCUCCUCUCCAAUCCCUGUGUCCAGGCAUCUGUCCUUUUUCAUGCAUCUGUGUCUGACACACUGCAUCUGGACCCCUGGGCUGCCCUGUAACAAGGAUGCGAGUCCCAUGUCUCUUGGCGGAGGGCUAGAUUGUGCAGAGCUGUGGACCACUCUGUAAUUAGAGUGCAGGUCUCUGUGCAUUUGAGGACAGCUCUGUGCUUUCCCAGGCCUGACGGCCCUCCCUGUAAGCAGGGCUCGGGGCCUUUACCUUUUGCCCCCACAUGGGCAGUGUGGCUACUCAGAUGGACGGCGCCAUGUAAGAAGGGUGCGAGUCCUGUGCGUCCUGUUACACAGCUAGGUUCUGCAGAGCUGCGGACCGCCCUGUAAGCAGGGUUCAGGUCUCUAUGUGCCUUUGGGGACAGCCCUGUCCCUUGUCUGGCCUGACGGCCCUCCCUGUAAGCAGGGCUUUGGGCCUUUCCCUUUUGCUCCCGGGCGGUGUGGCUACCCAGACGGACCGUGCCCUGUAACGAGGGUGCAAGUCCCAUGUCUCUUAGUGGAGGGCUAGAUUCUGCAGAGCUGUGGACCAUCCUGUAAGCAGGGUGCAGGUCUCAAUGUGCCUUUGGGGACAGCUCUGGCCUGGCGGCCCUCCCUGUAAGCAGGGCUCUGGGCCUCUCCCUUUUGCCCCUGGGCAAUGUGGCUAGCCAGACAGACCGUGCCCUGUAACGAGGGUGUGAGUCCAA
Long non-coding RNA from Gavialis gangeticus (Gharial), 1578 nucleotides. RefSeq lists it as uncharacterized. The transcript is spliced from 4 exons. NCBI's taxonomy places the organism in Eukaryota, Metazoa, Chordata, Crocodylia, Gavialidae. The record is from RefSeq and is a predicted model, not a curated record.